RNAcentral lists this transfer RNA (57 nucleotides) under Ovis aries (sheep). It matches the Rfam family "tRNA", at positions 8 to 63 of the family's 71-position model. Rfam says of the family: Transfer RNA (tRNA) molecules are approximately 80 nucleotides in length. Their secondary structure includes four short double-helical elements and three loops (D, anti-codon, and T loops). Further hydrogen bonds mediate the characteristic L-shaped molecular structure. tRNAs have two regions of fundamental functional importance: the anti-codon, which is responsible for specific mRNA codon recognition, and the 3' end, to which the tRNAs corresponding amino acid is attached (by aminoacyl-tRNA synthetases). tRNAs cope with the degeneracy of the genetic code in two manners: having more than one tRNA (with a specific anti-codon) for a particular amino acid; and 'wobble' base-pairing, i.e. permitting non-standard base-pairing at the 3rd anti-codon position. The record is from Rfam by way of RNAcentral. Lineage: Eukaryota; Metazoa; Chordata; Mammalia; Artiodactyla; Bovidae.
UGGCUUAGAAGGUAAAGCAUCUGCCUGUGAUGCAGGAGACCCAGGUUUGAUCCCUGG